GACGAACGCUGGCGGCGUGCUUAACACAUGCAAGUCGAACGGAAAGGCCCUGCUUGCGUGGGGUGCUCGGGUGGCGAACGGGGGAGUAACACGUGAGUAACCUGCUCUUGACUUUGGGAUAACUUCAGGAAACGGGGGCUAAUACCGGAUAGGAGCUCCUGCUGCAGGGUGGGGGUUGGAAAUUUUCGGCGGUUGGGGUUGGAGUCGCGGCUUAUCAGCUUGUUGGUGGGGUAGUGGCUUACCAAGGCUUUGACGGGUAGCCGGCCGGAGAGGGUGACCGGACACAAUGGGACUGCGAUAAGGAGCAGACUCAGACGGGAGGCAGUAGUCGGGAGUAUUACACAGUGGGAGCAAGCCUGAUGCAGCGACGCCGGGUGCGGGAUGACGGUCUUCGGGUUGUAAACAGCUUUCGCCUGUGACGCAGCGUGAGUGACGGUACUGGGUGAAGAAGCACCGGCUAACUACGUG
This 468-nucleotide ribosomal RNA is filed under the name uncultured bacterium. Its description in RNAcentral is "partial 16S ribosomal RNA". It matches the Rfam family "Bacterial small subunit ribosomal RNA", at positions 28 to 507 of the family's 1533-position model. The record is from RNAcentral.